CCGGCGACCGGCGCACGGGUGAGUAACACGUAUGGAACCUGCCCGCAGCAGGGGGAUAAGCGGAAGAAAUUCCGUCUAAUACCGCGUAACAACGUUGGGAGGCAUCUCCCGAUGUUUAAAGAUUUAUCGGCUGCGGAUGGCCAUGCGGCGCAUUAGCUAGUCGGCGGGGUAACGGCCCACCGAGGCGACGAUGCGUAGGGGUUCUGAGAGGAAGGUCCCCCACAUUGGUACUGAGACACGGACCAAACUCCUACGGAAGGCAGCAG
RNAcentral lists this ribosomal RNA (266 nucleotides) under uncultured bacterium. Its description in RNAcentral is "partial 16S ribosomal RNA". It matches the Rfam family "Bacterial small subunit ribosomal RNA", at positions 88 to 354 of the family's 1533-position model. The record is from RNAcentral.